CAGCCGCCGCGGGAAAACAGAGGGUGCGAGCGUUAAUCGGAUUUACUGGGCGUAAAGCGUGCGUAGGCGGCUUCUUAAGUCGGAUGUGAAAUCCCUGAGCUUAACUUAGGAAUUGCAUUCGAUACUGGGAAGCUAGAGUAUGGGAGAGGAUGGUAGAAUUCCAGGUGUAGCGGUGAAAUGCGUAGAGAUCUGGAGGAAUACCGAUGGCGAAGGCAGCCAUCUGGCCUAAUACUGACGCUGAGGUACGAAAGCAUGGGGAGCAAACAGGAUUAGAUACCCGAGUAGUCCCUGUCUCUUAUAC
This 301-nucleotide ribosomal RNA is filed under the name uncultured bacterium. RNAcentral describes it as "partial 16S ribosomal RNA". It matches the Rfam family "Bacterial small subunit ribosomal RNA", at positions 509 to 807 of the family's 1533-position model. The record is from RNAcentral.